CCAAUAGCGUAUAUUAAAGUUGUUGCAGUUAAAAAGCUCGUAGUUGAAUUUCGGGAUUAGUAGAUUGGUCAUGCCUCCGGUAUGUACUGGUCUUACUGGUUCCUCCUUCCUGAUGAACCGUAAUGCCAUUAAUUUGGUGUUGCGGGGAGACUGGACUGUUACUUUGAAAAAAUUAGAGUGUUUAAAGCAGGCUAACGCUUGAAUACAUUAGCAUGGAAUAAUGAAAUAGGACGUUCGAUCCUAUUUUGUUGGUUUCUAGGAUUGACGUAAUGAUUAAUAGGGAUAGUUGGGGGCAUUAAUAUUCAAUUGUCAGAGGUGAAAUUCUUGGAUUUAUUGAAGACUAACUACUGCGAAAGCAUUUGCCAAGGAUGUUUUCAUUAAUCAAGAACGAAAGUUAGGGGAUCGAAGACGAUCAGAUACCGUCGUAGUCUUAACCAUAAACUAUGCCGACUAGGGAUCGGAUGAUGUUAAUUUUUUAAUGACUCAUUCGGCGCCUUACG
This 500-nucleotide ribosomal RNA is filed under the name uncultured Glomeromycotina. Its description in RNAcentral is "partial small subunit ribosomal RNA". It matches the Rfam family "Eukaryotic small subunit ribosomal RNA", at positions 591 to 1092 of the family's 1831-position model. Lineage: Eukaryota; Fungi; Glomeromycota. The record is from RNAcentral.